CUGAUGGAGAAGUGUGUUUAACAGAGAGCAUCCAUUAAAACACUGCUCAUGACAGGGGGUCUAAUGCAGAAACAUCAGAGAGGUGGGAAUCCUGCGGGAAAACUCAUGAAACACUCCUGUGAGAGCUGUGUGAGACACGUGUGUGUGUGUGUGUGAGUGUGAGAGAUAUUGUUGUAUACAUAUGAUCCAGAUGAUUCUAUUGAUGUUUGAGGUGAAUCUCUGAUCAGUUUCUAGCAGUGUAGCUGUGUGAGUGAUGUUUAAUGCAGUGACAGUAAUUCAUGUAUUAACAGUAGAUCUCUCUCUCUCUCUCUCUCUCUCUCUCUCUCUCUGUGUGUGUGUGUGUGUGUGUGUGACAGAGACGAGCAGCAGCUCAAACGUCUGUCGGGAUCAGAACGCUCUUCAUGAGCAGAUGGACGCAGUAGAGAAGGUGAGCUCAGUGUUUAAUCAGACUCAGAGUCAGUCUAAAGCUCAGUUCAUCUGUCUCGUCUCUCACUUCUGGAGUUAACUUGAGACUUUCUCCAUUCUGACAUUUUUCCCUUCUGAAUUCUGAGUUUAUAUCUUGCAGAUGUAUUGCUUUUUUUCCAUCUAAAUUCUACGUUUAUGUCUUUUAGUGUUGGACUUUUUUUGUCCUUUAAAGUCUGAUAAAAUUUUGCAAAUGUGUGAUUUUUGUCUUCUAAAUUCUGAGUGUAUAUCUUGUAGUUUCUUGACUUUUGUGCCCUCUAUUCUUUUCUUGUUGCAAGUUUAUAUCUAGCAAAUCUAAAACUUUUUCCUUUCUAAAUUUUGAGUUUAUUUUUGUGUUGACCCUUUCAUCCUCUAAAUGUUGAGAUUACAUCUUGCAAAUUUGUCACUUUUUUUUCGUCUCAAAUCUGAAUUUCUGUUUCCCCCAUUUAAUUCUCUGUUUAUAUAUUGAAAUGUAUGACUUUUUGUCCUUCAGUUUGCGAGUUUUUGGAAAUGUCAUUUUUUUUUUCCCUCUAAAUCCCGAGUUUUCAUUCUGCAGGUUUGAAAUGUUCUGUCCUCAAAGUUCUAGGUGUAUAUCUUACUGUGUGACUUGAGCGGGUGGAGGACUCUCUUCAGGAGCUGGAGGCGGAGCUGGCUCUUCUGCUGGAUGCUGUGGAGGCCCCUGAGUGGAGCCCCCUGCUGGACAAGCCACUCAUCGACAUACUGGACCAAUCUCACAGACUCUCAAACCAUAACAUCAGGAUUUUUACAUGAUAAACAGGGAAUCUGUCCACAGAAACAUUGUGUGUUAAUAUGUUUAGUCAGGUUCAAAAGAUGCAAUCACAAUGUUUACUAACCUUUUUUUAUUUUUCAGAAAAAUAGGAGUUAAUAUAACUAACAUUCGUUAAACCUACUCUAACUAAUGUAUACUUCUGUGUUCAGUCAGCACUUGUAGUAUAGCUACACUUGAGUGUACUUGAGUAUGACAGAUGGGUUCAAGUGUACUACAAGUGCUGACUGAAUACAUUUUAAAUAAAGAGAUACAGAAAAGAUUUAAUUCAUAUUCAUGGUGUCCCAAAAUAGUCCAGUUGAGUACACUCAGAUUAUUUUAUCUUAAGAAGUACUAAAGAAUAAUAUUUACUAUAUUAAGCACAAAUUAGUGUGCAAAAAUAGAGCACUCGAACACUCUAAGAGUAUUCUACUCUUUUGUUUUCAUUUUCUUCAAAUAUUUUAUAUUUUUCCUCUUUUAAUUUCAGGGUGAAAUAUGAUCCCAGAGUUUCUUCAGGAGAUCGUACACUACAAUAAAUGGACGGAGCAGCUCAUAAAGUUCUGGUACUAAUAAGACGAUAAGCUCUUCUUAUUAAAGUUAAAUGAAUCUUAUUACUUUACUGCGUGUCAGUAUUUUCUUCUGGUGUUUGUUCGUAACUAUUCUAAAUGUUCUGAGGAGAUGAUCAAUCACUGCAUGCAUGUGCAUAUCCAAACAUAACAUGUCUACAGUCUCUCUCUUUUCUUCACUGAAUCCAGGAAACCUGUGGUUUGUUCAGACUCCCAGCAUGCAUUGCUCUUUUGCUAUUGCUUCUGUUGUUCAGAGUUUGUAAUUUGGUUUGAAUGCACUGCAUCUCACUAGUCUCCCUGUUAGAAUAUGUUAUCUAUCGUAUAAUUAUUUGUCACAUUUUGAUUUGACUGAUUCAUGUUGUUUUGAACAUGCUGUGAGUCUUAAUAAAGA
RNAcentral lists this long non-coding RNA (2164 nucleotides) under Carassius auratus (goldfish). RNAcentral describes it as "lncRNA (ENSCARG00000007322.1)". Lineage: Eukaryota; Metazoa; Chordata; Actinopteri; Cypriniformes; Cyprinidae. The record is from RNAcentral.